Molecule: ribosomal RNA, 170 nt
Filed under: uncultured rumen bacterium
Lineage: Bacteria
Description: partial 16S ribosomal RNA
Rfam family: Bacterial small subunit ribosomal RNA
Source: RNAcentral
CCUACGGGAGGCAGCAGUGGGGAAUAUUGCACAAUGGGGGAAACCCUGAUGCAGCGACGCCGCGUGAGCGAAGAAGUAUUUCGGUAUGUAAAGCUCUAUCAGCAGGGAAGAAAAUGACGGUACCUGACUAAGAAGCUCCGGCUAAAUACGUGCCAGCAGCCGCGGUAAUA